This 336-nucleotide unclassified non-coding RNA is filed under the name soil metagenome. Its description in RNAcentral is "partial contains 5.8S ribosomal RNA, internal transcribed spacer 2, and large subunit ribosomal RNA". The stretch from base 1 to 120 matches the Rfam family "5.8S ribosomal RNA", at positions 35 to 154 of the family's 154-position model. The record is from RNAcentral.
GAUGAAGAACGCAGCGAAAUGCGAUAAGUAGUGUGAAUUGCAGAAUUCAGUGAAUCAUCGAAUCUUUGAACGCACAUUGCGCCCCUUGGUAUUCCAUGGGGCAUGCCUGUUCGAGCGUCAUUUGUACCUUCAAGCUUUGCUUGGUGUUGGGUGUUUGUCUCGCCUUUGCGUGUAGACUCGCCUUAAAAUAAUUGGCAGCCGGCGUAUUGAUUUCGGAGCGCAGUACAUCUCGCGCUUUGCACUCAUAACGACAGCGUCCAAAAGUACAUCUUACACUCUUGACCUCGGAUCAGGUAGGGAUACCCGCUGAACUUAAGCAUAUCAAUAAGCGGAGGA